This 429-nucleotide ribosomal RNA is filed under the name Actinomycetes bacterium. RNAcentral's name for it is "Actinobacteria bacterium partial 16S ribosomal RNA". It matches the Rfam family "Bacterial small subunit ribosomal RNA", at positions 355 to 776 of the family's 1533-position model. Lineage: Bacteria; Bacillati; Actinomycetota; Actinomycetes. The record is from RNAcentral.
UAGGGAAUCUUCCGCAAUGGGCGAAAGCCUGACGGAGCAACGCCGCGUGAGUGAUGAAGGUCUUCGGAUCGUAAAACUCUGUUAUUAGGGAAGAACAAAUGUGUAGGUAACUAUGCACGUCUUGACGGUUCCUAAUCAGAAAGCCACGGCUAACUACGUGCCAGCAGCCGCGGUAAUACGUAGGUGGCAAGCGUUAUCCGGAAUUAUUGGGCGUAAAGCGCGCGUAGGCGGUUUUUUAAGUCUGAUGUGAAAGCCCACGGCUCAACCGUGGAGGGUCAUUGGAAACUGGAAAACUUGAGUGCAGAAGAGGAAAGUGGAAUUCCAUGUGUAGCGGUGAAAUGCGCAGAGAUAUGGAGGAACACCAGUGGCGAAGGCGACUUUCUGGUCUGUAACUGACGCUGAUGUGCGAAAGCGUGGGGAUCAAACAGG